UACGGGGGGAGCAAGCGUUGUUCGGAUUUACUGGGCGUAAAGGGCGCGUAGGCGGCCACCGCAAGUCGGUUGUGAAAUCUCUGGGCUUAACCCAGAAAGGUCAACCGAUACUGCGGGGCUAGAGUGCAGAAGGGGCAACUGGAAUUCUCGGUGUAGCGGUGAAAUGCGUAGAUAUCGAGAGGAACACCUGCGGCGAAGGCGGGUUGCUGGGCUGACACUGACGCUGAGUGAGCGAAAGCCAGGGGAGCAAACGGG
This 255-nucleotide ribosomal RNA is filed under the name uncultured bacterium. RNAcentral's name for it is "partial 16S ribosomal RNA". It matches the Rfam family "Bacterial small subunit ribosomal RNA", at positions 524 to 776 of the family's 1533-position model. The record is from RNAcentral.